AGAGUUUGAUCCUGGCUCAGAUUGAACGCUGGCGGAACGCUUUACACAUGCAAGUCGAACGGUAACGUGGGGAGGAGCUUGCUCCACCCCGACGACGAGUGGCGAACGGGUGAGUAAUACAUCGGAACGUGUCCGCUCGUGGGGGACAACCAGCCGAAAGGUUGGCUAAUACCGCAUGAGUUCUACGGAAGAAAGAGGGGGACCCGCAAGGGCCUCUCGCGAGCGGAGCGGCCGAUGACUGAUUAGCCGGUUGGUGAGGUAACGGCUCACCAAAGCAACGAUCAGUAGCUGGUCUGAGAGGACGACCAGCCACACUGGGACUGAGACACGGCCCAGACUCCUACGGGAGGCAGCAGUGGGGAAUUUUGGACAAUGGGCGCAAGCCUGAUCCAGCUAUUCCGCGUGUGGGAUGAAGGCCCUCGGGUUGUAAACCACUUUUGUAGAGAACGAAAAGACACCAUCGAAUAAAUGGUGUUGCUGACGGUACUCUAAGAAUAAGCACCGGCUAACUACGUGCCAGCAGCCGCGGUAAUACGUAGGGUGCGAGCGUUAAUCGGAAUUACUGGGCGUAAAGGGUGCGCAGGCGGUUGAGUAAGACAGAUGUGAAAUCCCCGAGCUUAACUCGGGAAUGGCAUAUGUGACUGCUCGACUAGAGUGUGUCAGAGGGAGGUGGAAUUCCACGUGUAGCAGUGAAAUGCGUAGAUAUGUGGAAGAACACCGAUGGCGAAGGCAGCCUCCUGGGACAUAACUGACGCUCAGGCACGAAAGCGUGGGGAGCAAACAGGAUUAGAUACCCUGGUAGUCCACGCCCUAAACGAUGUUAACUAGUUGUUGGGAAGUAACAUUCUCAGUAACGCAGCCAACGCGAGAAGUUAACCGCCUGGGAAGUACGGUCGCAAGACUAAAACUCAAAGGAAUUGACGGGGACCCGCACAAGCGGUGGAUGAUGUGGAUUAAUUCGAUGCAACGCGAAAAACCUUACCUACCCUUGACAUGUCAGGAAGCUCUUGUAAUGAGAGCGUGCCCGCAAGGGAGCCUGAACACAGGUGCUGCAUGGCUGUCGUCAGCUCGUGUCGUG
Molecule: ribosomal RNA, 1078 nt
Filed under: human gut metagenome
Description: bacterial SSU rRNA
Rfam family: Bacterial small subunit ribosomal RNA
Source: RNAcentral